This is a long non-coding RNA of Armigeres subalbatus, 482 nucleotides long. RefSeq lists it as uncharacterized. The transcript is spliced from 3 exons. The record is from RefSeq and is a predicted model, not a curated record. NCBI's taxonomy places the organism in Eukaryota, Metazoa, Arthropoda, Insecta, Diptera, Culicidae.
UCUGCCGAUAAAACUAACGCGAUGCCAUGAUGAGCUAGUAGUUAUUGGUUCAACGUCAAGCAGACCGGGACGGUUUCAGUGCAGUGGAAGCAAGUGCUAGCAGUUACCUUUCUCGCUAUAUAGUUGCCGGGUAUUGUGUGGUCUGACCGAUAACGAGGCAAAAAUGGAAAAAGUGAUGGCUACAGCUAACAUCGCGAUGCGUAGCUAGUGGAAUAUUAUGAGAUCGGCCUUUCUUUGAUCCAGGCAUGCAGUUCGGUGUGGCAUUUUUGAUGAUCCUGUUGAGUUGGUGGUGUGGUAGCAACAAUGGUGUGCUAAGCAGCGGGGUGACCGGCAAGGCGCCGGUGGUUUUUCCCCUCUUUCUGUCCGGACAGGCUGGAUAGUUAUGCUGACGCCGUGGGAUACACUGCUACACAACCAUCCACACCAACAGAACAGUAGGGUAAUUAGGCUAAGUUCAACAAUAAAAAUGUAAGUACUCUUUA